This 466-nucleotide ribosomal RNA is filed under the name uncultured bacterium. Its description in RNAcentral is "partial 16S ribosomal RNA". It matches the Rfam family "Bacterial small subunit ribosomal RNA", at positions 28 to 507 of the family's 1533-position model. The record is from RNAcentral.
GACGAACGCUGGCGGCGCGCCUAACACAUGCAAGUCGAACGAGCGAGAGGAGGUUUACUUUCUCAAGCGAGUGGCGAACGGGUGAGUAACGCGUGAGGAACCUGCCUCAAAGAGGGGGACAACAGUUGGAAACGACUGCUAAUACCGCAUAAGCCCACGACCCGGCAUCGGGUAGAGGGAAAAGGAGCAAUCCGCUUUGAGAUGGCCUCGCGUCCGAUUAGCUAGUUGGUGAGGUAAUGGCCCACCAAGGCGACGAUCGGUAGCCGGACUGAGAGGUUGAACGGCCACAUUGGGACUGAGACACGGCCCAGACUCCUACGGGAGGCAGCAGUGGGGAAUAUUGCACAAUGGGGGAAAGCCUGAUGCAGCGACGCGGCGUGGAGGAAGAAGGUCUUCGGAUUGUAAACUCCUGUUGUUGAGGAAGAUAAUGACGGUACUCAACAAGGAAGUGACGGCUAACUACGUG